This 1700-nucleotide unclassified non-coding RNA is filed under the name Penaeus japonicus. RNAcentral describes it as "homeobox protein CDX-1-like, transcript variant X2". Lineage: Eukaryota; Metazoa; Arthropoda; Malacostraca; Decapoda; Penaeidae. The record is from RNAcentral.
GAUGAAAAAGCCUUCGUAUCAAGCGCAACCAAACUCAGAUGGCGCCUUCCUGGACAUGGACGGGCUGACGAUGAAAGGUACGGAGGAGGAGGAGACGGGCAGAGGCACGUGGAACGCCGGCAAGACUCGCACCAAGGACAAGUACCGCGUGGUGUACAGCGACCACCAGCGCCUCGAGCUCGAGAAGGAGUUUCAUUACUCGCGUUAUAUCACCAUCAGGAGAAAGUCUGAGCUCGCCUCCAUGCUGGGGUUGUCCGAGAGACAGGUCAAGAUCUGGUUCCAGAACCGACGAGCCAAGGAGCGCAAGCAGAUGAAGAAGCGGGACGAGCUCCUGCAGAAGGAGAAGCUAGAGAACGCCCAGUACCACGCGCCCACCGUCACCCCCGUCCCGCCCAUGCCCCCCAUGCACGCGCACGUCUCCUCCGCCCAGCACCUCCCCACGUCGAAGCCCCUCAUGAUGGACGUGAAGCCGGUGUUGGGGCUGGACUGACCCGAGUCUGCCUUCUAUUGGAGCCAGUGACCUGCACCAGACUUCUGACGGAGACGCGCAGCGGAGACCCCGGCGGCGCGAGGAGACGGCCUGGGCGCUUCACGGUGGGCGCGCCGACCGACAAGAGCCGCGGAGGCGAGGAUCGGCGGUCGCUGGUCCAGGACCAUUCCGUGCUUUUCAUCCGUGUCGAGACGUGGAAAUUGUCUGGAAUUCUUUCUUAAUUAAGGUCUACCGAGAGCCAGUGCUUUGUGGUGUACAGUGAUGUGAUCCGCGUAACGGGAAAGACAAUCGUGAGAGACAGUUUACUUACGGAUGAGGUUUCGGUGGAUGUAAAAAAAAAGGAAAAGUGGUGAAUCCCAAGUGAAAGAAAGAACAAGGACAGAACAGUUGGCAGCAAACUUUAUCGGCUCUCGGGUAGCUCCUUCUAAAUUAGAAAAAAAAACUAUCUGUGAAUUCUAUGAAUAAUUUUCUUCGAAACGAGAUCUUACUUUAGGUGAAAAAAGCGAAAGUGGCACAGGUAGAUCAUCCUCGUCGUUGAAAGUCCCAUGUUUCCGUGUCAGCGGUGAAAACGGCCGUCACACUCCUCUCGAGGUGCAACCCGGCCCGCUCGGAGAUGCUGGUGCAGUUGCACACUCCAAUGAAAGGCAAAGAACGUAAUAAUAUGUUUCACUCGACUGUGAAUCGACUAUUUAUGAACAUGUAACGUCAGUGACUAAACAUUUUUUUCAAAAAUCUCAUUACCGCGUAUAAACAAUCGCACGUUAUUUGAUUUUAUUGAAUAGGUAGCAAAGUAUAUUGUUGUAAUUCUAACUUAAUGAGAUGUAGCAGCCUGCGACGACUAAAGGCGCUGUUUCCAAGAGAUUUAUAUAACGGUCGUAAGCAGCCCCAAGGAAGAGAAUUCCUGCUGUUAAAACUUGAACUGCACUCUACCUCCCGACCUUGUUCCUCGGAACGUCACACACUCAACAAACGGGGAAGGAAUUAGAAAUCUGUUUGUAUAUAUACACGCUCAUGUUUUGACUGUUCAGUUUUGGCUGGUUGUGAACUUUUUGACAGUAAGCAAACAGCUGUUUCACGGCUUACUUAGGAGCACCAGUGCAGGCAGAGGGAAGUGAUUGAGUGUAUGUAUGCUAGUGUGUGUGUGUGUGUGUGUGAGUGUGUAUGCGUGUUCGUUUAACUCUGUGUUUGUUUUUUGUUACCCAUCUAUAUC